RNAcentral lists this long non-coding RNA (379 nucleotides) under Physcomitrium patens. RNAcentral describes it as "long non-coding RNA (PPAT_LNC006963)". The record is from RNAcentral. Lineage: Eukaryota; Viridiplantae; Streptophyta; Bryopsida; Funariales; Funariaceae.
AAGAAAGAAAUAAGAUUGACAGAAAUGGUAGGAUUAAGUUGCAGUGUAAACUCUUCUAAACAGAAUCAGGAAUCUUAGAGCCAAUUCACUUUUGUGCCCAUGCACUGGACCCACCCUACCAACUCCCAGGCCUGGGUCGACCGGAAAAUGGGUGAAAUAUUCGACUCUGUCAACAGCGUGGGCUCCUCGCUGAGUCCAUACCUCCGCCCCCUUUUGCUGCAGACAAAGCACUGGCAGCCUUAUGGGCAUCCACCACGAAAAGAUCCCAAGGUCUAAACCUCCAAGAUGAAAGCAAAUCCAUGCACAGUUGGCAAAAGUGAUGUUUGUCCAAAUUGAUCUGCGUAAAAAUAGAGGGCUCCUUGGCCAAGGAACAUGAUCC